AACGAACGCUGGCGGCAGGCCUAACACAUGCAAGUCGAACGGUUGUAGCUAUACAUCAGUGGCGCACGGGUGAGUAACACGUGGGAACGUGCCCUUCACUACGGGACAACGUCGGGAAACUGACGCUAAUACCGUAUAAUGUCUCCGGACCAAAGAUUUAUCGGUGAAGGAUCGGCCCGCGUCUGAUUAGCUAGUUGGUGAGGUAAUGGCUCACCAAGGCGACGAUCAGUAGCUGGUUUGAGAGAAUGAUCAGCCACACUGGGACUGAGACACGGCCCAGACUCCUACGGGAGGCAGCAGUGAGGGAUCUUGGACAAUGGGCGCAAGCCUGAUCCAGCCAUGCCGCGUGAGUGAUGAAGGCCUUAGGGUUGUAAAGCUCUUUUGCCGGGGAUGAUAAUGACCGUACCCGGAGAAUAAGCCACGGCUAAAUUCGUGCCAGCCGCCGCAGUAA
Molecule: ribosomal RNA, 451 nt
Filed under: uncultured bacterium
Lineage: Bacteria
Description: partial 16S ribosomal RNA
Rfam family: Bacterial small subunit ribosomal RNA
Source: RNAcentral